UAUAUACAUAUAUAUAUUGGUGCUGGUGCUGUCAGAGCUCCGUGCUGUCGGACCAAAAGUCAGGGUUAGGGUUAGACCUCUGACCUCUCUCCUCUCCUCUCCUCUGACCUCUCACCUCUGACCCCCUGCUGCAGCGAGGCGGACCGCACCAUCCUGACUUCCUGUCAGCAGAGAGGAGCAACCCGGAGGACGUUCAGACAGAUCUCUGCCCAGCUGGGAAACAAAACCGCCCAGCAGGUGAGCCUUCGUUUCCACGACCUGAUGAAUCUUUUUCACGCCGCCAACAAGUCUUCAGAGCCGGGACGUCAAUAAUACCAGAGGACUCAUUUGUUUUAUAUAUAUAUAUAUAAAAUCCUUUGCACAUUUUAUAGAAUAUAGAUACAAAUCUGGAGAUCUGCUGCUUUUCUGUUUUAUAUUCAAGUGAAGAACUUUGGACAUUUAAAAACUUGGACUUUGAGGAAUUAAUUUGGAUAUUCUUCACUAUUUUCUGACUCUUUUUUUUUUUUUAUACACGAAACAUUCGUGAGGAAAAUAUAACGUUGAAAAUCCCAAUAAUGAUAUUACAUUUGAUAAAUAAACAGAUAUUAAAGUUCUGCUCAAAUACAACACAUUGCUUCUUGAAUGAAAAUAAAUUAUAGUUAAUUAUUUUAAACUUCAUUUUAUUUAACAAACUAAACUCAAAAAGCAUCAAAACUAAAUAUCCCAACACAACGACGAUAAAAACAGAUUUAUUGUGCAGCCCUACAAACAAUAAUCCAUGAAUCCACAAGAUGGGUAAUGAAGUGAUCGUUAUUGUUUAUAUCACGUGUGUUCAGUUCUAUUAUUAAACGUUCUCAGAAUGUGCUGCAGGAUCUCUGUGACUUUAGAUCCUGACUGAACCUCUGUAUUUAUAUUUAAUGAUUAUUUAUUUCUAAUGUAUGCCCUCUGACCUCAGCGAGACUCCGCCCAUUGUUUUUAAAAAAGAAAUGUUUUUAGUUUUUAUUAAUUUACACCAUUUUGUCUGAUAAAACACCAAAUUCAAAGUUUACAGCGCUCCAGAUCUUCACUGCUGCACAUUUUUAUGUUUCUGGACAGAUUUACUCUUUUUAUUUUAUUUCUUAGGGCUGAUGGAACUUCUUCCAUAAAUGAAGAAAAACAAAUAUGUUUGAACGUUUUGUAUUCAAACUUAAAAAUGAACUUAUUCUUUCUGAAACUGUUUCUGAAUAUUACCCAUGAUGCCUUUUGGUGAAGGAUGUACCAACGGUCUGUGAAGGUUUGUAUUAACUUUUUAUUCAUAUUGAAUAUGAAUGAAAGUCGACUGCUUGAAUAAAAUAUUUUUACAUUUC
Long non-coding RNA from Cottoperca gobio, 1325 nucleotides. RefSeq lists it as uncharacterized. NCBI's taxonomy places the organism in Eukaryota, Metazoa, Chordata, Actinopteri, Perciformes, Bovichtidae. The transcript has 2 exons. The record is from RefSeq and is a predicted model, not a curated record.